This 1284-nucleotide long non-coding RNA is filed under the name Equus asinus (donkey). Its description in RNAcentral is "lncRNA (ENSEASG00005024890.1)". The record is from RNAcentral. Lineage: Eukaryota; Metazoa; Chordata; Mammalia; Perissodactyla; Equidae.
CACGUUGGCUCUGCAUCUCUGGAGCUGUGUCAUUUCACAACUGUUGCCUAAGUGGGUCAUGCAUAAUGGAUCCUUUUCGGACUGGCUUUCACCACUCAGCAUAGUUUCCUCGAGGCGCAUCCAUGUUGUUGCAUGGAUUGCUUGAUUUUCCUUCCUUGAAAAGGGGGAGCCUAAUUGCUCUGCACGCCCCUUGAGAAAGGACUGGACUUAGUCUUGGCUUCUAAUGAAUAAACAAGACAGAAGGGAUGCUGUGACUCUCAGCGACUCCUGAGACUAGGUCCUGAAAGGCACGUGGCUUUCUCGUGGCUUUCCUCUUCAAUCAUGUACCCUAGGGAAGCAGCCACAUGCUUGAGGACACGCAAGCAGCCCUGUGGAGACCAGAAGCCAAGACACUCUGCCACAGCCAAAGAAUGUGCCAUCUUGCAAGUGGGUCCGCCAGCCCCAGUCAGCCUUCGGAGGACACCGUGACCCCAGCAGAUGGGACUCCAAGCCAGAAGCACCUGCUGCAGCUGCUCCUGAAUUCCUAACCCACAGAAACAGCAAGAAAAGAAUUAUUGCCUUAAGCCACUAAGUUUAAUUUGUUCUGCAACAAUAGAUAACUAACUCAUCCUCAUUCAGGAUUCCUUCUUGAAUUUCACCUUCUUUCUGAAGUCUUUCCUCUGAAAUUUUCUUCAGUGACAUCCUGUUGGUGGUAAACUCUCAAUUUUCUUUUGUUUGAAAAUUUUAUUUUGCCCCCAUUCUUGAAAGAUAGUUUCUCUGGGUGUGGACCUCUAGAUUAAUAAUUGUAUUGUCUUGGCUGUCAAAAUCAUCACUCACCAUCCCUGGCCUCUGAUGUUGUGGCCCUUCCUUUGUACACAACUCAUUUUCCAUCUCUGGAUUCCUCUACGGUCUUGUAAGAGAAAAUGUGCGUUUCUUUUUAAUUGUCCUGGCUGGAAUUUGUUGGUUUCCUGGAUCUGAGAAUUGAUGUGUUUAGACAAGUCUGGAAAAACUGAAGCCAGUUUAUCUUCGUAUAUUGCUCCCUUCCUAUCCUUUUUCAGGAAAUCCAGCCAGAUGCUAAACAGCCCUAUCUAUCUAUCCUUCAAGACUCUUCACCUCUCGUGCAUGGUCCCCAUCUCUCAGUCUCUCUGGGCUGUAUUCUGGGUAAUUUCCUAAGCUCUGUCUUUCAAUUCACUAAAUCUCUUUUCAGCUGUGCUGAAAAUUUUCACCUGAAGUUUAGUCCAUUUGGGUUUUUAAUUACAUUUUUUUUAAUUUUUAGAAGUUGUAUUUGAUUCUUUUUCAUCCUUU